This 62-nucleotide transfer RNA is filed under the name Bulla sp. TLT-2006. Its description in RNAcentral is "tRNA-Val". The record is from RNAcentral. Lineage: Eukaryota; Metazoa; Mollusca; Gastropoda; Cephalaspidea; Bullidae.
GAGAUCGUAAUACAAGUAGUAUAUUUCACUUACAAUGAAAAGGUGGAGAAUUCCCGAUUUUU